GGAGCGUAGGUGGCUUGAUAAGUCAGAUGUGAAAUCCCCGGGCUUAACCUGGGAACUGCAUCUGAAACUGUUAGGCUAGAGUAGGUGAGAGGAAGGUAGAAUUCCAGGUGUAGCGGUGAAAUGCGUAGAGAUCUGGAGGAAUACCGAUGGCGAAGGCAGCCUUCUGGCAUCAUACUGACACUGAGGCUCGAAAGCGUGGGUAGCAAACAGGAUUAGAUACCCUGGUAGUCCACGCCGUAAACGAUGUCUACUAGUCGUUGGGUCCCUUGAGGACUUAGUGACGCAGCUAACGCAAUAAGUAGACCGCCUGGGGAGUACGGCCGCAAGGUUAAAACUCAAAUGAAUUGACGGGGGCCCGCACAAGCGGUGGAGCAUGUGGUUUAAUUCGAUGCAACGCGAAGAACCUUACCUGGUCUUGACAUAUCUAGAAUCCUGCAGAGAUGCGGGAGUGCCUUCGGGAAUUAGAAUACAGGUGCUGCAUGGCUGUCGUCAGCUCGUGUCGUGAGAUGUUGGGUUAAGUCCCGCAACGAGCGCAACCCUUGUCCUUAGUUACCAGCGGGUUAAGCCGGGAACUCUAAGGAUACUGCCAGUGACAAACUGGAGGAAGGCGGGGACGACGUCAAGUCAUCAUGGCCCUUACGACCAGGGCUACACACGUGCUACAAUGGUAGGUACAGAGGGCAGCUACACAGCGAUGUGAUGCGAAUCUCAAAAAGCCUAUCGUAGUCCAGAUUGGAGUCUGCAACUCGACUCCAUGAAGUAGGAAUCGCUAGUAAUCGCGGAUCAGAAUGCCGCGGUGAAUACGUUCCCGGGCCUUGUACACACCGCCCGUCACACCAUGGGAGUUGAUUGCACCAGAAGUGGAUAGCCUAACCUUCGGGAAGGCGUUCACCACGGUGUGGUUGAUGACUGGGG
This 915-nucleotide ribosomal RNA is filed under the name Psychrobacter sp. SP042. Its description in RNAcentral is "bacterial SSU rRNA". It matches the Rfam family "Bacterial small subunit ribosomal RNA", at positions 566 to 1480 of the family's 1533-position model. Lineage: Bacteria; Pseudomonadati; Pseudomonadota; Gammaproteobacteria; Moraxellales; Moraxellaceae. The record is from RNAcentral.